UAGGGAAUCUUCGGCAAUGGGGGGAACCCUGACCGAGCAACGCCGCGUGAGUGAAGAAGGUUUUCGGAUCGUAAAGCUCUGUUGUUAAGGAAGAACGAGUGUGAGAAUGGAAAGUUCAUACUGUGACGGUACUUAACCAGAAAGGGACGGCUAACUACGUGCCAGCAGCCGCGGUAAUACGUAGGUCCCGAGCGUUGUCCGGAUUUAUUGGGCGUAAAGCGAGCGCAGGCGGUUAGAAAAGUCUGAAGUGAAAGGCAGUGGCUCAACCAUUGUAGGCUUUGGAAACUGUUUAACUUGAGUGCAGAAGGGGAGAGUGGAAUUCCAUGUGUAGCGGUGAAAUGCGUAGAUAUAUGGAGGAACACCGGUGGCGAAAGCGGCUCUCUAGUCUGUAACUGACGCUGAGGCUCGAAAGCGUGGGGAGCGAACAGG
This 429-nucleotide ribosomal RNA is filed under the name Bacteroidota bacterium. RNAcentral's name for it is "Bacteroidetes bacterium partial 16S ribosomal RNA". It matches the Rfam family "Bacterial small subunit ribosomal RNA", at positions 355 to 776 of the family's 1533-position model. The record is from RNAcentral. Lineage: Bacteria; Pseudomonadati; Bacteroidota.